Molecule: ribosomal RNA, 292 nt
Filed under: uncultured eukaryote
Lineage: Eukaryota
Description: partial 18S ribosomal RNA
Rfam family: Eukaryotic small subunit ribosomal RNA
Source: RNAcentral
GGUUGAUCCUGCCAGUAGUCAUAUGCUUGUCUCAAAGACUAAGCCAUGCAUGUCUAAGUAUAAACAAUUUUAUACAGCGAAACUGCGAACGGCUCAUUAUAUCAGUUAUAAUCUACUUGAUCGUAUUCUCUUACUUGGAUAACCGUAGUAAUUCUAGAGCUAAUACAUGCAAAAGGACCUGACGAAAGAAGGGUUGUAUUUAUUAGGUACAAAAUCAAUGCCAGUCUUUGAUUGGAAGAAUUGAUGAUUCAUAAUAACUAAACGAAGCGCAGGCCUAGAGUCGGCGCUGAUA